This 492-nucleotide ribosomal RNA is filed under the name uncultured bacterium. RNAcentral describes it as "partial 16S ribosomal RNA". It matches the Rfam family "Bacterial small subunit ribosomal RNA", at positions 29 to 507 of the family's 1533-position model. The record is from RNAcentral.
AGUGAACGCUGGCGGUAGGCCUAACACAUGCAAGUCGAACGGCGGCAUAGUAAGAGCUUGCUCUUACGGGUGGCGAGUGGCGGACGGGUGAGGAAUACAUCGGAAUCUACUUUUUCGUGGGGGAUAACGUAGGGAAACUUACGCUAAUACCGCAUACGACCUACGGGUGAAAGCAGGGGAUCUUCGGACCUUGCGCGAUUGAAUGAGCCGAUGUCGGAUUAGCUAGUUGGCGGGGUAAAGGCCCACCAAGGCGACGAUCCGUAGCUGGUCUGAGAGGAUGAUCAGCCACACUGGAACUGAGACACGGUCCAGACUCCUACGGGAGGCAGCAGUGGGGAAUAUUGGACAAUGGGCGCAAGCCUGAUCCAGCCAUACCGCGUGGGUGAAGAAGGCCUUCGGGUUGUAAAGCCCUUUUGUUGGGAAAGAAAAGCAGCAGGUUAAUACCCCGCUGUUCUGACGGUACCCAAAGAAUAAGCACCGGCUAACUUCGUG